This 474-nucleotide ribosomal RNA is filed under the name uncultured bacterium. RNAcentral's name for it is "bacterial SSU rRNA". It matches the Rfam family "Bacterial small subunit ribosomal RNA", at positions 27 to 518 of the family's 1533-position model. The record is from RNAcentral.
GGACGAACGCUGGCGGCGUGCCUAACACAUGCAAGUCGAGCGAGGAGAUUCCUCGGGAUGAUCCUAGCGGCGGACGGGUGAGUAACACGUGGGCAACCUGCCUCAUAGAGAGGAAUAGCCUUCCGAAAGGGAGAUUAAUACCUCAUAACAUUGCAGUUUCGCAUGGAACAGCAAUUAAAGGAGUAAUCCGCUAUGAGAUGGGCCCGCGGCGCAUUAGCUAGUUGGUGAGGUAAUGGCUCACCAAGGCGACGAUGCGUAGCCGACCUGAGAGGGUGAUCGGCCACAUUGGGACUGAGACACGGCCCAGACUCCUACGGGAGGCAGCAGUGGGGAAUAUUGCACAAUGGGGGAAACCCUGAUGCAGCCAACGCCGCGUGAGUGAUGACGGCCUUCGGGUUGUAAAGCUCUGUCUUCAGGGACGAUAAUGACGGUACCUGAGGAGGAAGCCACGGCUAACUACGUGCCAGCAGCAGC